This 1264-nucleotide long non-coding RNA is filed under the name Felis catus (domestic cat). Its description in RNAcentral is "lncRNA (ENSFCAG00000053226.1)". The record is from RNAcentral. Lineage: Eukaryota; Metazoa; Chordata; Mammalia; Carnivora; Felidae.
AUGUGGACACUUUUAGAUUCUCAGGUUCUCAGCUGGGCAGAGAGACCCCCUGGUGUGACUCAGGAAAGAAGACAUGAGUGCAGGUACCUUUUCCAAGGAAGAGCCGAUACUGGUAAGUUCAUGAUGUUGACCUUGAGUGCCUUGACAGUGGCUUGGCCAAAAAGAAUGUCUGUGUGCAGUUUUUGGUUUUUGUUUUCCGGGGUAAAGGCCAUGUCAACAAUUCUUGGUGUGCUUCCUGGGUUUUCUCAGCUUAAAGGAAGGUGACAGAGCCCUUGAGGUAUGCAGAGAAGGAGCCUACCACUCAUUGUGGUAGAGAUCUGAAUAUGGCUAAGAGAAAAAUCUAAACUUUUUAUGAGGGAACAAUUUUAAGCCAAACACUAGAAGGAAAUUGGAAAAGGCUUAAGUGAGCUCUCAGGCAAUGAGCUAAGAGAUAACCAAAUAUGAAGGGAUUCUCGCAGGGAUUUAUUAGUGUCUCAAUCAAUCAGCAAGUAUUUACAGAGUAAAACUACAGGCCAGCCUCUUACUGGGCUACAAGAGGAUUCAUAACAAGCCCUUCCUCAAGGGUUUGCAGUCUGGAUGGAGAGCUAAGACAAGCCCUCUGGAAAGAGAGAACCACACAAAAGAUCUCAAAAGUAAGCAUGCCUGCCUAAACAGCUAGGAAAGUUCUUGAAGUGAGGUAUAGAUUCUGAGUCUUACCUUGAAUCUGAAAUUCUUAAGUUUUCAGUAUCUUGAAUGCUUAUAUAGAUCAAAUCUACUUGUCUAAUUGCAAGCAACAGAAACAAACUCUGGCCUGGUUCAAGAAGAAAAGAAACUUAGGAAAACAAAAAAUCAGAGCUGGGAGGCUGCGCUGGGACCCUGGCUCAGAAAAUGGGUAGAAACAAUGAGAAGCUGGGGAACAGGAAGCACCACCAGGUAACCCCACAGGAACAAGCUGGUGAGGACACCACUGUCACCACGGCAAGGCCUAGGAUUGUAAGAGUUUCAAUUCAAAGCCAGGGGCAGGAGUCCUGUGCCACAUGCCCACAUCCUAGCUGCAAGGGAGGCUGUAAAAUAGAGUGGCUGGAAGGUUCUGAUUUUUAACAGGAGACAAACACUCAUUCAUGAGGUGGGGGAUUCCCCAAACAUGGCUUCAGGGAAGCCAGAACAAAUAGCAAAUGUUCGCCACACCUUCCAUAUCUAGUACAGAAACAGAAAGUAUGGAUGUUAAAGAAUAAUCAGUUUUAUUAACAACAACAACAAAAAGGAAUACUGCAGAAUAAGAAUU